UAGGUUAACGAGGCGAACCGGGGGAACUGAAACAUCUAAGUACCCCGAGGAAAAGAAAUCAACCGAGAUUCCCCCAGUAGCGGCGAGCGAACGGGGAGCAGCCCAGAGUCUGAAUCAGCUUGUGUGUUAGUGGAACGGUCUGGAAAGUCCGACGGUACAGGGUGAUAGUCCCGUACACCAAAAUGCACAGGCUGUGAACUCGAAGAGUAGGGCGGGACACGUGGUAUCCUGUCUGAAUAUGGGGGGACCAUCCUCCAAGGCUAAAUACUCCUGACUGACCGAUAGUGAACCAGUACCGUGAGGGAAAGGCGAAAAGAACCCCGGCGAGGGGAGUGAAAAAGAACCUGAAACCGUGUACGUACAAGCAGUGGGAGCACCUUCGGGUGUGACUGCGUACCUUUUGUAUAAUGGGUCAGCGACUUAUAUUCUGUAGCAAGGUUAACCGUAUAGGGGAGCCGCAGGGAAACCGAGUCUUAACUGGGCGUUAAGUUGCAGGGUAUAGACCCGAAACCCGGUGAUCUAGCCAUGGGCAGGUUGAAGGUUGGGUAACACUAACUGGAGGACCGAACCGACUAAUGUUGAAAAAUUAGCGGAUGACUUGUGGCUGGGGGUGAAAGGCCAAUCAAACCGGGAGAUAGCUGGUUCUCCCCGAAAGCUAUUUAGGUAGCGCCUCGUGAAUUCAUCUUCGGGGGUAGAGCACUGUUUCGGCUAGGGGGUCAUCCCGACUUACCAACCCGAUGCAAACUACGAAUACCGAAGAAUGUUAUCACGGGAGACACACGGCGGGUGCUAACGUCCGUCGUGAAGAGGGAAACAACCCAGACCGCCAGCUAAGGUCCCAAAGUCAUGGUUAAGUGGGAAACGAUGUGGGAAGGCACAGACAGCCAGGAUGUUGGCUUAGAAGCAGCCAUCAUUUAAAGAAAGCGUAAUAGCUCACUGGUCGAGUCGGCCUGCGCGGAAGAUGUAACGGGGCUAAACCAUGCACCGAAGCUGCGGCAGCGACACUAUGUGUUGUUGGGUAGGGGAGCGUUCUGUAAGCCUGCGAAGGUGUGCUGUGAGGCAUGCUGGAGGUAUCAGAAGUGCGAAUGCUGACAUAAGUAACGAUAAAGCGGGUGAAAAGCCCGCUCGCCGGAAGACCAAGGGUUCCUGUCCAACGUUAAUCGGGGCAGGGUGAGUCGACCCCUAAGGCGAGGCCGAAAGGCGUAGUCGAUGGGAAACAGGUUAAUAUUCCUGUACUUGGUGUUACUGCGAAGGGGGGACGGAGAAGGCUAUGUUAGCCGGGCGACGGUUGUC
RNAcentral lists this ribosomal RNA (1293 nucleotides) under Klebsiella pneumoniae. RNAcentral describes it as "partial 23S ribosomal RNA". It matches the Rfam family "Bacterial large subunit ribosomal RNA", at positions 167 to 1506 of the family's 2925-position model. The record is from RNAcentral. Lineage: Bacteria; Pseudomonadati; Pseudomonadota; Gammaproteobacteria; Enterobacterales; Enterobacteriaceae. RNAcentral also lists the same sequence under 1 other name.